This 25-nucleotide non-coding RNA is filed under the name Mus musculus (house mouse). Lineage: Eukaryota; Metazoa; Chordata; Mammalia; Rodentia; Muridae. The record is from RNAcentral.
UAAGAUCUGGCCAUAGAUUAAUCAA